[Clostridium] cellulosi is the source of this 153-nucleotide non-coding RNA. The record is from Rfam. Lineage: Bacteria; Bacillati; Bacillota; Clostridia; Eubacteriales; Oscillospiraceae.
AGUUUUAUAACCGUUUAUCCUAAGACAGCAGGUGCCUUUAUAGGCUCAAAUUGGCCUGCCGAGGUGUAACGCUUGCAUUGUUCGGUACUUAUUACCGAAUUAUAAUGUAUGCUGAGCCUUCGGCGAAAGCCGAAGGCUUUUUUGUUGGGGACC